CUUCAUGUACGUCUAUGACUGGCCGACGCUUUACAGGCAGGAAACAGUUAUGACUGGGAUCCAGACUUCACAUUAUGGAACAGGAUGAACGCUGGCGGCGUGCCUAAUACAUGCAAGUCGAACGCUUUGUCUUUAAUUGAUCUGACGAGCUUGCUCUAAUUUGAUUUUAUCUGACAAAGAGUGGCGAACGGGUGAGUAACACGUGGGUAACCUACCUCUUAGCAGGGGAUAACAUUUGGAAACAAGUGCUAAUACCGUAUAAUACCAACAACCGCAUGGUUGUUGGUUGAAAGAUGGUUCUGCUAUCACUAAGAGAUGGGACCCCCCGGUGCCAUAAGCUAGUUGGUAAGGUAACGGCUCUACCUAUAGGCAAUGGAUGGCAUAAGCCGAAGUUGAGAGACUAGGAUCGGGCCACAAAUGGGACUGAGACACGGCCCCAUACUCCUUCGGGGAUGGCAGCAGUUGGGGAAUCUUCCACAAUGGGGCGCAAGCCUGAUGGAGCAACGCCCGCGUGUGUGAUGAAGGGUUUCGGCUCGUAAAAACGCUGUUUAUAAGAGAAGAACGGCACUGAGAGUAACUGUUUCAGUGUGUGACGGUAUCUUACCAGAAAGGAACGGCUAAAAUACGUGCCAGCAGCCGCGGUAAUACGCAUGUUUCCAAGCGUUAUCCGGGAUUAUUGGGCGUAAAAGCGAGCGCAGACGGUUUAUUUAAUUCUGAAGUGGAAAGCCCUUCAGCUCAACUGAGGAAUGGGCUUUGGAAAACUGGAAUGACUUUGAGUGCAGUAGAGGAAAGUUGGAACUCCCAUGUGGUAGCGGUGAAAUUGCAUAGAAUAUAUGGAAGAAACACCCAGUGGCGAAAGGGCGGCUUUUCUUGGACCUGUAACUGGACGUUUGCAGGCUCGAAAGUGUGGGUAGCAAACAGGAUUAGAUACCCUGGUAGUCCACACCGUAAACGAUGAGUGCUAGAUGUUCGAGGGUUUCCGCCCUUGAGUGUAAGCAG
Molecule: ribosomal RNA, 999 nt
Filed under: uncultured bacterium
Lineage: Bacteria
Description: bacterial SSU rRNA
Rfam family: Bacterial small subunit ribosomal RNA
Source: RNAcentral